AUUUUUUCCAGAUUAAAAAAAUCGCCAGAGAGAGGAAGACGUGCAAUCGUAUACGGCUCAUGCUACAGGAUAUUGUAGACCUGAGAUUGCACAACUGGGUGUCCAAAGGAGGAGCCAAGAAAAGUACAGCAGCAACUCCUCUCCAAAGACACCAAGAGACAGCCAGAUCCAAGUGAGCAGAGAGAGCAGGGCGUAGAGAGAGAGUAGCCGGGCAACACCGUGCCCGUGAAAAAGAACAGCAGGACCGCUGAAAAGAAAUAAGCUGCUAUUUACUUUUGAAGAUUUGAAAUGUUUAUUUGAAUUAAAGCUGGAACCUAAUGCAGAGUCAUGACUUGUUAAGAUUCUGCUGUAUAAUCAGAAACAUAUAAUAUUUUAUGAUUUAUACAGAUAUUGGUAAACAAGUUUCUUAGAUUUUCUACAUAUUACUGAUAAAACACUCAUAACAGGGGCAUUUGUGUUGAUUCAUUCAUGCUUCUUCCUCACCCCGGCAAUUUCACGCCCUCAUCUCAGAGUAAAUAAAUUCAACAAUAUACAUAAUGAUUUGUGUAAUGAGUUUAAUAUUGUAAAAAUGUAUCUAAACAAUAGAAAUUGAAUAUAGUAUAUUUUGUGAAAUCAGCAGUGACCUCUGAGUAGAAAUUGAUCACAGACAACGUGAAAAGUUGUGUGGCUAAUUUUUUUGUGCCCGAUGGUCUCUGCUGAAUCUGGAGGCUGUUUUGAAAACUCCAUCUCUGACUUCCUCGUCUGUAGUUCCUGUUCUCUAGCCGGAAAAAUAUACAUAGGGUCAGGAUUGGAUCCCAUAACUGUUUAUGAUUAAUCCUUGGAAUUGUAACAACCGGGCUGUUUGUAAAAACUUUCCUUGCUCCCAUCUGAUCUGCAUCACUGUAGUUUACAUGUCCGGCAGUGCAAAGGUGGCACAAAGGAUCCAUGAGGUACUGCAGAAUAGAAGGAAAACAGACUUUGUGGGAUCUCUGCCUGCUGGAUGCACUCUGACAUGUUUCAGUGUAGAACAGGGAGCACACUUGUUCACUAAGCC
Platichthys flesus (European flounder) is the source of this 1033-nucleotide long non-coding RNA. RefSeq lists it as uncharacterized. The transcript is spliced from 3 exons. The record is from RefSeq and is a predicted model, not a curated record. Lineage: Eukaryota; Metazoa; Chordata; Actinopteri; Pleuronectiformes; Pleuronectidae.